AGCACUUCUUCCUUCUGCCGUGCAGGUGAAGGGCACGGCCUUUCACUCUGGUGUGUGGGAGAGGGGCAGGAGUCAGUGGGGUGGAUGGUGGCACAGGUGGGGAGGCAGUGGGUGCUGGCUUGCGGCAUUUCCUCCUUGCGGUCUGUGCAGGAGCUCCGCUGGGCUCCCCUUCGUUGCCCCCUGCCCUUGGGUGUCUCCACCUCCUGUCUUGGAUCCCUUCUCCAUAUUGGCCUUUUUUUUGCUUUUCCUGCUUCUUGCCUGCCUUGUCUCUCGUCCCCCCGGCGCGGGCACAGCAUCCGCUCCGUCCUGUCUGCCCCUCGUGGUGACAGACUCGCUCGAGGCGCUGCAUGUAAAACAGCACCUCGCUGGCAUGGGACCAUCUCGCCUACCCUCAAGCCCCAGGGCAACUGGCCUGGCUCCCCUCUCCAGGCAAGUUGGACAGAUACUUUCCUGGGGUGGUUUAGAUGGGGAUGAUCCUGCCCGGUUGGAUUAGAUGGGACCUGCAAUUCGUGCUAGCCCUGCUUUUCCAUAAUGUUAUGCCCCUUCCCCUGUUAUAGGACCCUGCAUAGUCCCCUUUGCCCAGCUGCUUCCAGGGAACUGUGGUCUCAGGCCUGUCUCUCGGCAGGAUGGAGCCAGAGGCCAUCCGAUUUGUGCUUGCCUUUUCCCUGGCUCUAGAUCUGAAUGAAUCCAGUGGAGAACCCUUUAUCUCAGGUGUGCUCUGCAAUCCAGAGUCCUAAAUCUGAAUUUUUGGGGAAGCUGUGGCCUAAUCUGGACCCGGUCCCUUCACUUCCAUCAAGCCCACUGUGCCCUCUUCAGACAGCUGGUGGCAAUUGCAACUGUUGGCACCCGUGGCUUUGCACUAAGGCAACAGUCUGUCAAGCCUUUCCCCCCUUCCCACUUACUUGUGCUCAGCAAGAUGCACCCUUCUCCUGCCUCACUUCUCUCAAGGGGCCUUGCUGGACUCGCUGCAUUUGCUUCAAUCCCUCAAGUCACCGAACCCUUUGGAUCCUUCCCAUCACAACAUCUUGCCAGAAUAGCAGCAGCAGAGGUGGAAAAAUACCUCCCUUGGGGUAUUACCUUGUUGGCUUGGCAUCUCUGGGCUGGUGCAGGUCAUUGCACGUGUCACAUCUACCCAAAGAACUUUUCCUGCCAGGAGUUUUGUCCUGGCUCUUAGUAAGAGAUGCAGGAGGUACCUUGGCAGCUAGUAAGGGAGAGAAGAGCAUCCCCAGGGGCCUGCUGGGCUGCUCCACAUCUGUCUCCGUGGACCUGUGUGCCUACAGCUUCGGUAUCAUUUCUGCUGGGCUUGAGAGGGGAAAAUGCUUGAGGGGGAACUUGAGCAGGGUUUACAACAUGGAAAAUGGUGAAGAGAAAGUCACUAGGGAUUUAUUACAGACUGUCUCUAAACACAAGAACAAGGGGUCACCAAAUGAAACUGGUAGGGAGAAAGUUUAAAGCAAACGAGCAAUUUCUUUUUCACCUGGCGUGUCCAGGUGCGGAGCUUGUGGCCGCCAGGUGUGCUAGGAGCUGAUAGUUUAGCCAGAUUCACAAAGGGAUUGAGCCGAUUGGACAGAUCAGUCGCUAUUGAGAGUAGGAGCGAGGGGCACGGCUUCUGAAUCAGAACUUCCUAGGCCUUCACUGCUGGAGGCUGCAGGGGAGGGAGGUGGAGAGACCUGCUGGAAAUAAAGCAGUCGGCAUGGCAGGGAGCAGUAGAAGGGAUGGCAGAGGCUAAGCAUGACAACUGAGGAGCGAGGUUUCCACCUGCGGAUCGGUGGGCCCUGGCUUAACCUGUUAGUGCUGGGAAUCGCGUGCACGGAUGACCAAAUACCCACUUCCCUACGUGUCGCCAGGCUGCUAACAGCCGCUGUGUUGGUCCAAAGUGCCAGGCAAACCUGCUCAUCAGCGGCAGUCAUUCAGAAAGUUCUCAGUGUUGGAAACUGGCAAGCCGCGGCACGUGCUGGUUAACUGCCAGAUGGGGGGAUUGUUUCCAGCGUCCGACGUAGAGCUCGGAGGGCUGCCCCGUGACUUGAAUGAGUGAAUUGCAUGCACGGAGCCAAGCCGCCGAGCUCUGAGGUUGAAGAAUGAGUGGUGGAAGCUGCAAGGGGAAGGAGGGCAGGGGGUGAAUCGGUCUGGGUACGUCCUGCCCCAGUACCUUAGUAUCCCUGCUGUGCCCCUGCGACGGCCAGGGUGCUGGGCUAGAUGGACUCUGGGGUGUGACCUUGGAUGCAACGUGGCAAAAAGUAGUGUCUUUGCAGUGGUUUACAGCUGUAUUAUGCAUGAUCCAGGGUGGGCCGAUGCCCCCCCGGGGUUAGCAAGGAUUUGAGGGGGCCUCGUCCCUCGGUGCUGACGUUCUUUUAUUUCAUAGAUGAAAAGGAGAGAGAGAAGCGGAGCCUCCCUGCCUUCCUGCGGUGCCUCCCCUGGGGCAGGAGAAGCUGGAGGAAAGGACAUUCAGCGACCAGGAACCAUGUUUCUGAGGGGUGGAUCAGAUUGCAAGACUGGGACUGGGAAGCUCUGGCCCUGUGAGCUGUCCAGAUGGGCUGCAGGAUCCGGAGGAGGGCUUGGCUCUGACCAGCGUGUCGCCCAAUGGGAUCUGUGACGACGCUGGAGGCACGGACGCUUAGAUGUGGGACGGCUCCUAGAGCAUCAGGACAGCCUGGUUCAGCAAGGAAGUCAUCACACAGCUCUUUGGAAGAAGCUGCUUCCCUCACUUGACAAGGGACGUCUGUAGCAAGGAACAGCCUCCAGAGUCCCAACGAGAGACCUUCCCCCUGCCUCCACCCCUGCUGCGGCCGAACCUGUCGGAGUCAUUGUGCUUUGGUGCUAUGUAGAGUGAAUCAGUAGGUCCGUGAACGGAGCAUGUGCCCUUAAGAAAUCCCGUUUUCAAUCUCCUUUCCAUUUAGAAAAGAACAGCAAGGGGGAAAAAAAGGCACUAGAGCUGCAUGAAGUAUCGUGAUCGUGUGUUUUAUUUCCAUAGAUGAGCCGGCAGACAUGCCGGUCGGCAGGUGAAGAACAGCAGGGGUUGCCACGGCCAUACCGUGCAAAGCACACUUGUGUCACACGAGUCUCCUGGCCAUGAGGCCAGGUCAUUCCCUACUGCUACUUUUGGUGCUAAGUAGUCCCUUUGCAGAUUGCACUGGAGGCAGGGUGAGCCCGAGAGCAUCUGCAGUGUUUCCACUGCGUGGAUGAAUGUCGUUAUGGUGGGGAGCUGCGUGAUGGCUGCCUCCCUCGUUAAUUAACUGUGAGCCCAGCAACAUCAUGGUUGUCUUGCCUUGAGGACCAGCCUGUCCAUUCAUCCCAUUAAGAUGUGACUUAAUAUAGCUGACUUUUUAAAGGAAAUCUAAGCGUUUCAUAGUUUCAAAGAUGAUACUUUUAAUCUGCCUGGCGACUCACUGUUUUGAUCGCAUAGAGAGGAUUCUAGCAACACUAGCAAUACCCAGACUUCAAAUGCAGUGGAAAAAUGUGACCUUUUGGUGAGUGCACUUUGCUGGGUGUGAGCCCGGGUCUGGCUGCCUUGGUUCCCUGUGACAGGGCUGUAUGUGGUCAGGCUCUGGCUUGGACCAGCGCUCCACAAUUAUGUCCCUUCUAGCUGUCCUCAAGACAAGCUGGACAACUUUUCUGUUUGAGUAGGCACCUGUAACCAUUUUGCUUUGAUUUUUUUUUCCCCCAACUUAUGUGUCGUGUCCCCCCCCUUUCUGUUGGCGGCUGCUAACAGCAAGAUUUGGGUAGUCCUAGACCCCCCUCGACUCUUGGUCUGUUGAAAAUCGACUACCUCCUUCAUGACAGCAAGGUGCCUUAGGCAUUGCUCCAUCUGCUGCUUAGAGCAUGGGGCUGGGGCGUUGGGGGGGGUUCCCAGGUUCCUUACCCAGCUCUGCUAACAACUACGGACAUUCAUUUCUCUUUGCCUCAGUUUCCCCCUGUCAAGGUGGGGGAUCAUGAUGCUUGCAGGGGAGUGGUGAGGUUUCAUGAACCUUUGCAAAGUGCUCCGAGGGCAAGGGACUUGGGAGAACGGGGGUUAACUAGUGUGCAUGGGAGCAGGACACCGCUCUGUGAUCUUCCAGUGGCUCUGCUGGGAGAAGGCAGCUUGCUGCCCAGGGGGCUGUGCUGGUGCCUGGUCAAUGGAAGAGAAGUAGCAUGGAGAGGGGUGAGGACCAGGAGCAACAGA
Long non-coding RNA from Alligator sinensis (Chinese alligator), 4159 nucleotides. RefSeq lists it as uncharacterized. The transcript has 3 exons. The record is from RefSeq and is a predicted model, not a curated record. NCBI's taxonomy places the organism in Eukaryota, Metazoa, Chordata, Crocodylia, Alligatoridae.